RNAcentral lists this unclassified non-coding RNA (2308 nucleotides) under Apis florea (little honeybee). Its description in RNAcentral is "luc7-like protein 3, transcript variant X3". Lineage: Eukaryota; Metazoa; Arthropoda; Insecta; Hymenoptera; Apidae. The record is from RNAcentral.
CAUAUUGUUUGCUACACUACCGCCUUCUGAAAAAAGGGUUCAGGGUUAGAAUCAAGAUAUCACUUCGUUUGAGUGCUUAGUGUCGCUGUGUACUCUUUUUAUUUUGGAAUGAAUUUAUAUAGUUUCAAUUAUCACAUUCUUCAAGUGAAAUACAAACAAACGCGAUAAAUUUCAUACUGUCAAUAUAAAAAUUAUCAGUGGGUUUUUAUACACCAUUAAUAAACGACAUUCAAUAAGAAUUUUAGAAAUGGCUGCUGCUGCUGCUGCUGCUCUACUUGAUGAACUUAUGGGAAGAAACAGAAAUGUUCUUCCUAAUGAAAAACCUAAAGAACUUAAUUGGGAAGAUCCUGAAUUUUGUAAAUUAUAUUUAGUUAAAUUUUGUCCUCAUGAUUUAUUUGUUAAUACGAGAGCUGAUUUGGGUGCAUGUUCUCGAGUACAUGAUGAUGAAGCUAGAGAACUGUUUGAAAAAGCUCCAUAUUCAUAUCGAAAACAACAAUAUGAAGAUGAAUUUAUUAGAUUUUGUCAAAGUAUGUUAAAUGAGGUUGAAAGAAAAAUAAUAAAAGGAAAACAACGAUUAGCUCUUAUUGGAAGAACUGAAGCGCCUACUUUAACACCAGCACAAACUCAGAGAAAUGAAGAACAAAUUGCACUUUUAACUGAGAAAAUUAAUAAAUUAGUAGAAGAAGCAGAACAAAGUGGUAUACAAGGUAAUGUGGAACAGGCUCAAGGUUUAAUGAGAUUAUGUGAUCAAUUAAAAGAAGAACGAGAAACCUUAAGGAAAUCUAAUGACAAUAGUCAUUAUAACCAGACUGCCGAAUUAGCUGCUGCACAAGAAAAACAAAUGGAAGUAUGCGAUGUAUGUGGUGCAUUUCUUAUUGUUGGAGAUGCACAACAACGAAUUGAUGAUCAUCUAAUGGGUAAACAACAUGUUGGAUAUGCUAGAUUAAAAAGUGCUCUUCAAGAAAUUAUGAGUAAACGUGAGAAAGCUAGAGAUGAAAAAGAACAAAGAAGAGAAGAAGAUAGGAAACAAAGAGCACGUGCCAAUGAAGAACUUGAUAGACGAAGAAGAGAUGAUCGAGAUAGAGAUAGAGAAAGAGAUAAACGCCGUAGACGCGAUGACGAUAAAGGCAGACAUGAUUCGGGCAGUCAUAGAAAUUCGGGACACAGAAGUAGAAGUAGAUCAAGAGAUAAACAUGACAGACAUCGAGAUGAUGAUCACCGACGUCAUGCACGAGAUAAAGGAAAUCGUGAUCAUCGAAGCUCGAGUCAUCACAACCGGCGACGCCAUCGAUCUAGAAGUCGAAGUCACAAGUAACAACUCUUGAUUGGUUAGUGAGUGAGAAGUAAGCCAGGUAUGCACUAAACAAUAUAGCAUAUUCGUCUCAAUUACUGUACAGGUUCUUUACCAGGUGAGUUUCAUUAGAUGCACAUAAUAUAUACAUGAUAAUUAUCUGUAAUUUUGAAGAAUGGCAUAGUCACAGCGAGCCAGUCUCUGGUCCUGCCUAUUAAUCGGAGAAACACUUGUACUAAAUUUCAUAUGGACCUGUUUGUACAGCGUUUAAUUUUGAAAGUGACGAGCUUGCUCUAUGUAACGUAUUACUGAAAAACGGUGCAUCGAGGUAAUGUCGAGCAAGGAAUAGUAAUAUUGUUCCCAUACGAAAGGUAUUUUUAUCAUGUAGUAUUAUAGAUAUUGUCUACAGAGCAAGAUAGGAGAAGGUAUACCUAUGCUUGCUUUGAUCGGUAUAAUGUCUUCAUAGGGUAAAUCAAUUAUAUAAUUUCAACGACUGCAUAGCUUUUUUGUCGAAAAGAAAUUAGUGGUUUAGUGGAGGAAACAGUGCCUACUUCCGUAGACCUGCCACAACAGUGCCCUGUGUGACUGUGACUAUACAAUCCUAGCUUCUACUACGCAUUUCUGAGACAGAAGACAUGCCAUGGAGAUGUAACCAAUGCAACAGGCUCACUUGCACACUGCUUAAUAUAAUAUUGAGGUAAAGAUUUUGCAUAAUCUAAAAAUUCCAAUCAUGAAUUUUAUACACCUGCGUUUGGUUCAUUUUUACUACAUCGCGUUUUCUUGAAGUUAAUUACAAGAAAAAUCAUAAAAUUAAAAGAAUUGAAUACAUAAUUAUUGUUAUCAACAUUAUAUUAUGAUAUAGGGAAAAAAUUAAAAACAGAUUUAUUAGUAAUUUAUUCUUAUUUGCAAAUGUUACUCUAGGCUACAUAUGAUAAAAAAUAUCAAGGUAAAUUGUCUAUAAUUUGCAUUGUAAUACUCUUAAAAUUGUUAAUUAAAAUUAAUAAAACAGUACUACAA